This 480-nucleotide ribosomal RNA is filed under the name uncultured bacterium. RNAcentral describes it as "partial 16S ribosomal RNA". It matches the Rfam family "Bacterial small subunit ribosomal RNA", at positions 29 to 507 of the family's 1533-position model. The record is from RNAcentral.
AUGCACGCUGGCGGCGUGCUUCACCCCUGCAAGUCGCACGAAGCACUUUAUUUGAUUUCCUUCGGGACUGAUUAUUUUGUGACUGAGUGGCGGACGGGUGAGUAACGCGUGGGUAACCUGCCUUGUACAGGGGGAUAACAGUUGGAAACGGCUGCUAAUACCGCAUAAGCGCACGGCAUCGCAUGAUGCAGUGUGAAAAACUCCGGUGGUAUAAGAUGGACCCGCGUUGGAUUAGCUAGUUGGUGAGGUAACGGCCCACCAAGGCGACGAUCCAUAGCCGACCUGAGAGGGUGACCGGCCACAUUGGGACUGAGACACGGCCCAAACUCCUACGGGAGGCAGCAGUGGGGAAUAUUGCACAAUGGGCGAAAGCCUGAUGCAGCGACGCCGCGUGAGCGAAGAAGUAUUUCGGUAUGUAAAGCUCUAUCAGCAGGGAAGAUAAUGACGGUACCUGACUAAGAAGCACCGGCUAAAUACGUG